Molecule: ribosomal RNA, 253 nt
Filed under: uncultured bacterium
Lineage: Bacteria
Description: partial 16S ribosomal RNA
Rfam family: Bacterial small subunit ribosomal RNA
Source: RNAcentral
UACGUAGGAUCCAAGCGUUAUCCGGAUUUAUUGGGUUUAAAGGGUGCGUAGGCGGCCUGUUAAGUCAGGGGUGAAAGACGGUAGCUCAACUAUCGCAGUGCCCUUGAUACUGAUGGGCUUGAAUGGACUAGAGGUAGGCGGAAUGAGACAAGUAGCGGUGAAAUGCAUAGAUAUGUCUCAGAACACCGAUUGCGAAGGCAGCUUACUAUGGUCUUAUUGACGCUGAGGCACGAAAGCGUGGGGAUCAAACAGG